This 75-nucleotide transfer RNA is filed under the name Candidatus Aenigmatarchaeota archaeon. RNAcentral describes it as "tRNA-Asp". It matches the Rfam family "tRNA". From Rfam's summary of the family: Transfer RNA (tRNA) molecules are approximately 80 nucleotides in length. Their secondary structure includes four short double-helical elements and three loops (D, anti-codon, and T loops). Further hydrogen bonds mediate the characteristic L-shaped molecular structure. tRNAs have two regions of fundamental functional importance: the anti-codon, which is responsible for specific mRNA codon recognition, and the 3' end, to which the tRNAs corresponding amino acid is attached (by aminoacyl-tRNA synthetases). tRNAs cope with the degeneracy of the genetic code in two manners: having more than one tRNA (with a specific anti-codon) for a particular amino acid; and 'wobble' base-pairing, i.e. permitting non-standard base-pairing at the 3rd anti-codon position. The record is from RNAcentral. Lineage: Archaea; Nanobdellati; Candidatus Aenigmatarchaeota.
GCCCUGAUAGUGUAGCCUGGCAUAUCAUCCGGGACUGUCACUCCCGGGACACGGGUUCAAAUCCCGUUCAGGGCG